RNAcentral lists this ribosomal RNA (2031 nucleotides) under Prochlorococcus sp. AG-459-P19. RNAcentral's name for it is "bacterial LSU rRNA". It matches the Rfam family "Bacterial large subunit ribosomal RNA", at positions 14 to 2093 of the family's 2925-position model. The record is from RNAcentral. Lineage: Bacteria; Bacillati; Cyanobacteriota; Cyanophyceae; Synechococcales; Prochlorococcaceae.
AGGGCUCACGGAGGAUACCUAGGCACACAGAGGCGAUGAAGGACGUGGUUACCUGCGAUAAGUCUCGGGGAGUUGGAAGCACACUUUGAUCCGGGAAUUUCCGAAUGGGGCAACCCCUUGAACGACCAACUGAAUAUAUAGGUUGGUGCGAGCUAACCCAGCGAACUGAAACAUCUUAGUAGCUGGAGGAAGAGAAAGUAAAUAACGACUCCCUCAGUAGCGGCGAGCGAACGGGGAAUAGCCCAAACCGAUAGUCUUGACUAUCGGGGUUGUGGGACAGCAAUAUGGAUCAACAAUUCUAGAAGAAACGUUUGAAUGGCGUGCCAUAGAGGGUGAAAGCCCCGUAAUUGAAAGAUGAGUUGACCUAGCUGUAUCCCGAGUAGCACGGAGCACGUGGAAUUCCGUGUGAAUCUGCGAGGACCACCUCGUAAGGCUAAGUACUACUGUGUGACCGAUAGUGAAACAGUACCGCGAGGGAAAGGUGAAAAGAACCCCGGGAGGGGAGUGAAAUAGAACAUGAAACCGUGAGCUUACAAGCAAUGGGAGCCCGACUAAUCGGGUGACCGUGUGCCUGUUGAAGAAUGAGCCGGCGACUUAUAGGCACUGGCGGGUUAAACCGGAAAUGGUGGAGCCACAGCGAAAGCGAGUCUUAAUAGGGCGUUUGUCAGUGUUUAUAGACCCGAACCCUGGUGAUCUAACCAUGGCCAGGAUGAAGCUUGGGUGAUACCAAGUGGAGGUCCGAACCGACUGAAGUUGAAAAUUCAGCGGAUGAGCUGUGGUUAGGGGUGAAAUGCCAAUCGAACCAGGAGCUAGCUGGUUCUCCCCGAAAUACGUUGAGGCGUAGCGUCUAGUGCUCCAGCAGGGGGGUAAAGCAACCAUUUCGGUGCGGGCUGCGAAAGCGGUACCAAAUCGAUAUGAACUCUGAAUACCCUGUGUGUAACUAGGCAGUCAGACUGUGGGGGAUAAGCUCCAUAGUCAAGAGGGAAACAGCCCAGACCGCCAGCUAAGGUCCCAAAAUUAACGCUAAGUGAUAAAGGAGGUGGGAUUGCCCAGACAACCAGGAGGUUUGCCUAGAAGCAGCCAUCCUCAAAGGAGUGCGUAAUAGCUCACUGGUCGAGCGAUCCUGCGCCGAAAAUGAAUGGGGCUAAGCGUUAUACCGAAGCUGCGGAUAAAUUUAUUUAUGGUAGGGGAGCGUUCUAUGUUGGGUGAAGCGUUAGCGUAAGCGGACGUGGACGGCAUAGAAGUGAGAAUGUCGGCUUGAGUAGCGAAAACAUGGGUGAGAAUCCCAUGCCCCGAAACCCUAAGGGUUCCUCCGGCAGGCUCGUCCGCGGAGGGUUAGUCUGGACCUAAGGCGAGGCCGAAAGGCGUAGUCGAUGGAUAACAGGUCAAUAUUCCUGUACCAGUUAUGUUUUGGGAAGGGGGACGGAGAAGGCUAGCCAGGCCAGAUGUUGGUUACUGGUUCAAGCGUUCAAGGCUUUGAGAGAUGGAGAAAACAUCUUGAGCUGAGGCGUGAGUACGAGCUGCUACGGCAGCGAAGUUGGUGAUGUCAUGCUUCCAAGAAAAGCCCUAUACCCGUUAAGACAUAAAUGCCAGUACCCGAAACCGACACAGGUGGGGUGGUAGAGAAUACCGAGGGGCGCGAGAUAACUCUCUCUAAGGAACUCGGCAAAAUGGCCCCGUAACUUCGGGAGAAGGGGUGCCAGCGAGAGCUGGUCGCAGUGAAGAGGCGCAAGCGACUGUUUACCAAAAACACAGGUCUCCGCUAAGUCGCAAGACGAUGUAUGGGGGCUGACACCUGCCCAGUGCCGGAAGGUUAAGGAAGCUGGUUAGCUUUUAGCAAAGCUAGCGACUGAAGCCCCGGUGAACGGCGGCCGUAACUAUAACGGUCCUAAGGUAGCGAAAUUCCUUGUCGGGUAAGUUCCGACCCGCACGAAAGGUGUAACGAUUUGCGCGCUGUCUCGGAGAGAGGCUCGGCGAAAUAGAAUUGUCUGUGAAGAUGCGGACUACAUACACCCGGACAGAAAGACCCUA